This is a long non-coding RNA of Pieris brassicae (large cabbage white), 553 nucleotides long. RefSeq lists it as uncharacterized. The transcript has 2 exons. NCBI's taxonomy places the organism in Eukaryota, Metazoa, Arthropoda, Insecta, Lepidoptera, Pieridae. The record is from RefSeq and is a predicted model, not a curated record.
CCAAUCAAUCAAGUGGUUGUACUCCUUAAAUGCAAAAAAAAAACAUAAUUGUUUUUCAUACCUAAUCCUUCAAAAGAAAACAAAUAUACAUUUAUAGAAAUAAUCUCACUAUUUUCCAAUCCCGUUUAAGUUUAUUGAACACAGAACAUCCUUAAUACAAACUAUUAUCCAUUCGAUCAAUACAUACAGAUGUCAUCUCGCAUGCACUCCGCAUUGUCAUGUAAAUCUCGAGUCAUUGUUCAUACCGCAUACGUUUGCGGAAAUAGGAACUGUUUUGGUCGUAUCACUGAACCAAUAAUAUCGAUCACUUGACAAAGGAAAAUACCGAGAAACAGACUCGAACUAUAUCACAAAGCUUAGCAACUUCGAAGUUGACAUUUUAUAUAUACUAAUACUGUCUGUAUUGCAAUUAUAUGUAUAUAUUUAAUUUGAAAUACAGCGUCGAAAUGCUACCAGUGUUAAAGCUUUGCAGCAUACCUACAUCUGUGCGACGAAAUCUGUUACCUGGCGGCAUUCUAACGUGAACAGAUCACAAUAAAUAUUAUGGAAAUCA